GACGAACGCUGUCGGCGUGCUUAACACAUGCAAGUCGAACGGAAAGGCCCUGCUUUUGUGGGGUGCUCGAGUGGCGAACGGGUGAGUAACACGUGAGUAACCUGCCCUUGACUUUGGGAUAACUUCAGGAAACUGGGGCUAAUACCGGAUAGGAGCUCCUGCUGCAUGGUGGGGGUUGGAAAGUUUCGGCGGUUGGGGAUGGACUCGCGGCUUAUCAGCUUGUUGGUGGGGUAGUGGCUUACCAAGGCUUUGACGGGUAGCCGGCCUGAGAGGGUGACCGGCCACAUUGGGACUGAGAUACGGCCCAGACUCCUACGGGAGGCAGCAGUGGGGAAUAUUGCACAAUGGGCGGAAGCCUGAUGCAGCAACGCCGCGUGCGGGAUGACGGCCUUCGGGUUGUAAACCGCUUUCGCCUGUGACGAAGCGUGAGUGACGGUAAUGGGUAAAGAAGCACCGGCUAACUACGUGCCAGCAGCCGCGGUGAUACGUAGGGUGCGAGCGUUGUCCGGAUUUAUUGGGCGUAAAGGGCUCGUAGGUGGUUGAUCGCGUCGGAAGUGUAAUCUUGGGGCUUAACCCUGAGCGUGCUUUCGAUACGGGCUGACUUGAGGAAGGUAGGGGAGAAUGGAAUUCCUGGUGGAGCGGUGGAAUGCGCAGAUAUCAGGAGGAACACCAGUGGCGAAGGCGGUUCUCUGGGCCUUUCCUGACGCUGAGGAGCGAAAGCGUGGGGAGCGAACAGGCUAGAUACCCUGGUAGUCCACGCUGUAAACGGUGGGUACUAGGUGUGGGGUCCAUUCCACGGGUUCCGUGCCGUAGCUAACGCUUUAAGUACCCCGCCUGGGGAGUACGGCCGCAAGGCUAAAACUCAAAGGAAUUGACGGGGCCCCGCACAAGCGGCGGAGCAUGCGGAUUAAUUCGAUGCAACGCGUAGAACCUUACCUGGGUUUGACAUGGAUCGGGAGUGCUCAGAGAUGGGUGUGCCUCUUUUGGGGUCGGUUCACAGGUGGUGCAUGGCUGUCGUCAGCUCGUGUCGUGAGAUGUUGGGUUAAGUCCCGCAACGAGCGCAACCCUUGUUCACUGUUGCCAGCACGUUAUGGUGGGGACUCAGUGGAGACCGCCGGGGUCAACUCGGAGGAAGGUGGGGAUGACGUCAAGUCAUCAUGCCCCUUAUGUCCAGGGCUUCACGCAUGCUACAAUGGCUGGUACAGAGAGUGGCGAGCCUGUGAGGGUGAGCGAAUCUCGGAAAGCCGGUCUCAGUUCGGAUUGGGGUCUGCAACUCGACCUCAUGAAGUCGGAGUCGCUAGUAAUCGCAGAUCAGCAACGCUGCGGUGAAUACGUUCCCGGG
RNAcentral lists this ribosomal RNA (1342 nucleotides) under uncultured bacterium. RNAcentral describes it as "16S ribosomal RNA". It matches the Rfam family "Bacterial small subunit ribosomal RNA", at positions 28 to 1378 of the family's 1533-position model. The record is from RNAcentral.